CUAAAAUUCUUAUUUUAAUUAUUAUAUUUAAGUCUUUUAACUGAAAUUGACUUUUGAAUAUGUGAGAUGUAGGAAUUCAAUUCUUUUUCUUAUAAAGGGACAGUCAGUUGUGUCAACACCAAUUAUUAAAUAAACAUUUUUUUCCCUAAAUUGAAAUAAUAAUGUCAACAUCUUAAAUUUUCAUCUUUCCUGUUGUGGAUGGACUAUUUGUCUACUCCUAUGCCAGUUCCACAUGCUGGAUUAUGGUGGUUUUAUGUUCUGAUAUCUGAGAAAUCCUCCUCAUUAUUCUGCUUCUAGAUACAUGUAUUUUUCUUGGCUAUUUGUGAGUAUAUUUUUCUUCCAGCUGAACUUUAAAGUCAUUGUAUAUAGUUCUAAUAAACAAAUCCAAGUUAGUAUUCUAAUUGGAAUUGCAAGAAAUAUAUUAAUUGAGUUGAGAUAAUUAGCUUUUUUUUUUAGACAGCGUCUCACUCUGUUACCUAGGCUCACUGCAACCUCAGCCUCCUGGGCUCAAGCAAUUCUCAUGUCUCAGCCUCCUGAGUGGCUGGGAUUAUAGGUGUGUGCCACCAUGCACAGCUAAUUUUCGUAUUUUUUGUAGAGACAGGGUUUCACCAUGUUGGCCAGGCUGGUCUUGAACUCCCAGGCAUAAGCAUUCUGCCUGUCUCAGCCUCCCAAAAAGCUGGGAUUACUAGCAUGAGCCACCAUGCCUGGCCUAUAAUUAGCUUUUUCAUAAUUAAAUCUUAUCCAAGAAUUUGGUGUGCCUUUCAAUUUGUUCACACCUUGAUUUUUAUAUUGAAAAUGUUAUAGUUUUGUUCAUGUCGAUCCUUUAUUUAUUUUGUUAAAAUUUUUGAUGAAUUGAUUGCAUUAAUGACAUCACAGGGAGACUACAUUUUUCCAUCUCAUGUAACUUGCUUUGGUCAAAAGAAUGCAGAAGUGACAGUAUGCUAUUUCUACUCCUAGGCUUUAAUAUGCCUUGUAUGUUUCUGCUUGUUCUAUUUUACCUUUCCCAUAGCCAUGAAAAUAGCUUCUCCCAUAGUUGCUGCCCCUUUAACCUGGAUACAGGCCCUGAAACACAGUCAUCUACCCAAGCCCAGCCAAGAAUUAUGGGUGAAAAUACCUCAUAUGAUGAUCCAUGCAAAGGUACCAUUUGCCGUUCCCACCGUGCUCUUAUGAGGAAAGCAGCUCCCUGUUUUAUCUGCAUGAAGUUGUUGUGACUUACGCCAUAUACAUAAACUAUAACAAACCCUGCCAUUUUGAUCACAGCAGAUUGGAACAGAUGUUGUAGUAUAUUAUAAAGGCAGACAAUGUAAGUUGAUCAUUAGGAAGAACUAAUCCUUCAAGAAACUUGGAGUAAAACUGCCCAAGAGGGAUGCUCUGUAUCAGAUGCUAACAUCAACACAAUCCAUUCUUCUUGUUAAGGAUGAAGUCAUAUGUACACAGAAGUGAGUCACCACAGCACGAUAAGCAAUUGCACGAUAAGCAAUUGCUCCAUUUCUCCAUGUAACUUGCUCACAUGCCUAUCUUGGAAGUGCUGAAUAUUCUCUUUGGGUCUGACCUAUGAAUGUCAACAAAUCUCUACUUUCUCCACAUGUCACUUGACUACUGUUUAGCCUUUUAUUCUUCAACAACAGUAACUAAUCUUUAAAAACAUUUACCAUAUAAUAACAAAAAUAGUACUGAAGAGUUCCAGUAUUUUAUGUUUACAUGUCUUAUUUUGUUUAAUCCUAAUAAACUAAUCUAUAAGGUG
Homo sapiens (human) is the source of this 1744-nucleotide long non-coding RNA. Lineage: Eukaryota; Metazoa; Chordata; Mammalia; Primates; Hominidae. The record is from Ensembl.